GCGAACGCUGGCGGCAGGCCUAACACCUGCCAGUCGAACGGAUCCUUCGGGAUUAGUGGCGGACGGGUGAGUAACACGUGGGAACGUGCCCUUUGGUUCGGAACAACUCAGGGAAACUUGAGCUAAUACCGGAUGUGCCCUUCGGGGGAAAGAUUUAUCGCCAUUGGAGCGGCCCGCGUCUGAUUAGCUAGUUGGUGAGGUAACGGCCCACCAAGGCGACGAUCAGUAGCUGGUCUGAGAGGAUGAUCAGCCACACUGGGACUGAGACACGGCCCAGACUCCUACGGGAGGCAGCAGUGGGGAAUCUUGCGCAAUGGGCGAAAGCCUGACGCAGCCAUGCCGCGUGAAUGAUGAAGGUCUUAGGAUUGUAAAAUUCUUUCAGCGGGGACGAUAAUGACGGUACCCGCAGAAGAAGCUCCGGCUAACUUCGUG
Molecule: ribosomal RNA, 432 nt
Filed under: uncultured bacterium
Lineage: Bacteria
Description: partial 16S ribosomal RNA
Rfam family: Bacterial small subunit ribosomal RNA
Source: RNAcentral